Molecule: ribosomal RNA, 460 nt
Filed under: uncultured bacterium
Lineage: Bacteria
Description: partial 16S ribosomal RNA
Rfam family: Bacterial small subunit ribosomal RNA
Source: RNAcentral
CCUACGGGAGGCAGCAGUGAGGAAUAUUGGUCAAUGGCCGCAGGGCUGAACCAGCCAAGUCGCGUGAGGGAUGACGGUCCUAUGGAUUGUAAACCUCUUUUGUCAGGGAGCAAAGGGCGCCACGUGUGGCGUUUUGCGAGUACCUGAAGAAAAAGCAUCGGCUAACUCCGUGCCAGCAGCCGCGGUAAUACGGAGGAUCCGAGCGUUAUCCGGAUUCAUUGGGUUUAAAGGGUGCGUAGGUUGUUUUAUAAGUUAGCGGUGAAAUACCGAUGCUCAACAUCGGGGCUGCCGCUGAUACUGUAGGACUAGAGAUCGGAUGCAGCAGGCGGAAUGUGUAGUGUAGCGGUGAAAUGCAUAGAUAUUACACAGAACACCGAUUGCGAAGGCAGCUUGCUAGGCCGGAUCUGACACUGAUGCACGAAAGCGUGGGGAUCGAACAGGAUUAGAUACCCCAGUAGUC